UACAGAGGUCCCAAGCGUUGUUCGGAUUCACUGGGCGUAAAGGGUGCGCAGGUGGGUUUGCAAGUUCGACGUGAAAGCCCCGGGCUUAACCCGGGAAUGGCAUUGGAUACUGCAGAUCUGGAGGAUCGGAGGGGGGACUGGAAUUCCUGGUGUAGCGGUGAAAUGCGCAGAUAUCAGGAGGAACACCGGUGGCGAAGGCGGGUCUCUGGGCCGAUACUGACGCUGAGGAGCGAAAGCGUGGGGAGCGAACAGG
Molecule: ribosomal RNA, 253 nt
Filed under: uncultured bacterium
Lineage: Bacteria
Description: partial 16S ribosomal RNA
Rfam family: Bacterial small subunit ribosomal RNA
Source: RNAcentral